This 465-nucleotide ribosomal RNA is filed under the name uncultured bacterium. RNAcentral's name for it is "partial 16S ribosomal RNA". It matches the Rfam family "Bacterial small subunit ribosomal RNA", at positions 338 to 795 of the family's 1533-position model. The record is from RNAcentral.
CCUACGGGAGGCUGCAGUAGGGAAUCUUCCACAAUGGGCGAAAGCCUGAUGGAGCAACGCCGCGUGGGUGAAGAAGGUCUUCGGAUCUUAAAACCCUGUUGUUAGAGAAGAAAGUGCGUGAGAGUAACUGUUCACGUUUCUACGGUAUCUACCCAGAAAGCCACGGCUAACUACGUGCCAGCAGCCGCGGUAAUACGUAGGUGGCAAGCGGUAUCCGGAUUUAUUGGGGGUAAAGGGAACGCAGGCGGUCUUUUAAGUCUGAUGUGAAAGCCUUCGGCUUAACCGGAGGAGUGCAUUGGAAACUGGGAGACUUGAGUGCAGAAGAGGAGAGUGGAACUCCAUGUGUAGCGGUGAAAUGCGUAGAUAUAUGGAAGAACACCAGUGGCGAAAGCGGCUCUCUGGGCUGUAACUGACGCUGAGGUUCGAAAGCGUGGGUAGCAAACAGGAUUAGAUACCCUUGUAGUC